Molecule: ribosomal RNA, 109 nt
Filed under: Planctomycetota bacterium
Lineage: Bacteria; Pseudomonadati; Planctomycetota
Source: RNAcentral
CCGGGUGACCAUAUUGGUGGGGCCACACCUGAAUCCAUUCCGAACUCAGAAGUUAAGCCCACUAAGCCGAUGGUACUGUUUCAGGCGGGAGAGUAGGUUGUUGCCCGGU